ACAGUCUCAGUUCGGAUUGAAGGCUGAAAUUCGCCUUCAUGAAGCCGGAAUUGCUAGUAAUGGCAGGUCAGCAUACUGCCGUGAAUACGUUCCCGGGCCUUGUACACACCGCCCGUCACACCAUGAGAGUUGGCAAUACCCAACGUACGUGAUCUAACCCGCAAGGGAGGAAGCGUCCUAAGGUAGGGUCAGCGAUUGGGGUGAAGUCGUAACAAGGUAAC
Molecule: ribosomal RNA, 221 nt
Filed under: uncultured bacterium
Lineage: Bacteria
Description: partial 16S ribosomal RNA
Rfam family: Bacterial small subunit ribosomal RNA
Source: RNAcentral